AAAUUUCCAUUUACGAAUUCGAAAUAAGCACAUGACCAAUUCAAUAUGGAUGUUUGUUGUGAAAACAAUAUUCUGCCCUAAUAAAGGCUGACGGAAAUGGAUACCGGAAAAGAAACUGAUGUUGAUUUAACUAUUCAAGCUUUGGAUGAAACAACGAAAUGUGCUGUCGAAUUCAAAAAGUUGUUACGCUUACUAAAUGCCCGAAUAAGGAAUUUAGAAGAUGGCAGAUUUGAAGAGGCACCCAUAAUUGAACAGAAGCUGGAUUGUGUUUCUGAAAGAAUAGAGGGAACGGCAGUUCAUGUACAUGAAGUCACAAUUCUUGCCACAGAAUUACAGAAUAACAUGCAAAAAUUGAACUUUGCCAUUCAACCACCGAAUAUAAGAGAGAAAAAAGGAAGAAGAAGUUUUCAAGCAACAGACAGUGGAUUUGACAGUACAACUUACAGUGGUACUUCAAAAGUAAUCAACAAUGAUGUCGUAAGUGAAAUACAAGAUACAAACCCACCAGGAAAUCAAAAACAAUCUUGUGCAUCCCUUUCACUUGAGGCAAUUGGCGGAACCUAUCCUAUCACACAAGAUAGCAAAUUUUCCGAAUGCUAAAGAACAGUCACAAGUGUAGGCUUUUAUGUUGUACAGUACACACUUAUUCUAUCUUCUUAUUUUAUCAUGCAUUAUUCAAUCUAUAAUGUGCAAUAUGUUCAUAUUCAGGUUUCUCGUCUAUGUUUGUAUGUAUCUAUAUCUUAAAGUCAUAUGAAACGAGUUUAAAAAAUUUUAAUGUUCAGGAAAUUAUUGAUCCAAUGCAUGCAUAUAAAUUAUACUAAACUAAAUCCUAAAUGCACGUUUUUUUACAUUUAUUACGAGUCUAUAACGUAUAAUCGACACAUAAUAUUUCAUUCGGUGAUUGUUGAUCGCAAGUUCAUUAACUUUCGAGUUUGUUGCCGAAGUGUACCGGAUCUUGACAUUGAUAAACAAUCAACACAGAAGCCUGUGAAGCAUGUAAAAAAUAAGUGAAUUGAAGGAGCGCUGUUAAUUUUUUUUUUUAUAUUUUCUAUGCGUUUCAAUAACUGUUGUUAAAUGAUUUUGUGUAUUUAAUUUGUUCUUUAAGAAUCAAUUAAUACUAUUUACUUUCCAGUGCACGUUUAUUUACAUUCUGCCAUCACUCUUUUCCCUCGCUGUGCGGUGGCUAAAGUUCUAACGAGAGGUCUCGUAGUUGAAGUCACUGUAUACGGGAAAAUAUCGACUAAUUAGUAUACGGGAAGACAAUAGUUCAAUAGCAGUACACUUCUAAAGAUUUCGAUAAGAUAAUGGAUUAGGUUUCACAAGAAAGUUCAUGUACACUUGUUUUUUAAUACAACUCAGCCAUUCUAGUGUAUAAAACAUAUCCAACUAUUUUUUAAAUUUGAAGUUUCAUAUGACUUUAAUGGUGUUGUUCGUUAGUGAUUUUGAUAGUCGAGUUGAUAACAGAUCUGUGAUAGUCCCUGUUUAAUUUUUUCGCUACUGGAUUUGGGACGAAUUGGUGCGACUAUGGCAACCAGCAAUCUUUCAUAAUGCAUUUUUUUAUUGCAAUAAGGUCCUGUUGUCACUAUCAAAAAUAUUCAGUUCAAAAUUGACUCAAGAAAAUUUUGAACAAGUAAAAUUGGUAAAAUUCAUCUGUUGUCAUCAUCAAAGUUUUCAGGGUAUUGGUCAAAGAAAACAUGAGAAUUGAAGGUUAACAAAAAGUAAAGUGUCUCUUAAAAUAACUUCUCACAGAAUGAUUGCUUUGCUAUUUAACUACUAUAUCUUCUGUGUAAUUCUAUUUUAAGGAGGCUAAUUCGUGAAAGUUUUCUUUAAGGCAAAUAAGAAUUCGAGCAUGUUUUCUUUACGGCAAAUGAAUCCUACCAAUCUUUGUUCUCAACCAAUUCAAACCAUGUCAUGCUAUUUGUCCAUAACGAUUAUCUUUAAGCUUUACUGGAUGUUUCUGAAUAUUCAGCUCAUCAUUUCUCACCAGUUAUACAAUAUUUUUCGUUCCUAAACUCAACUCUGAUUGGUUAUUUCGCAUCAAGUGAAUAAUUCAUCAGCAAUGUUUCUUAUCUCAUUUUGACAAAAUUGAACCAAAUUAGCUGCUAAAGGCGAAUUAUUAUUUCACUAAAAUAAUUUCACUUUCAUUAAUUAUGGAACAAAAAAAAAAUCAUAUUUUAUGUUUUUUAUAUCUCGUAGCUAAUGCCCCUUUAAAGGCUUUGCAAUUGUUUGUUUUCCAUAUCACAUUAUUAUGGUGUUGUAAGUAAGCCUUUCAUACAAAUGUGUAGUAUAUUGCCUUGAUGUGAUUAUUUAUUAUGCUAACGUUAAUUUGCGACCAUCACAUCACCAAUUGAUGCCGUCGGAGCUUAAAAUACAAUAUUGUUAUCUCCAUUAUAAAGGAAACUGACAGAAAACAACGUCAAAUCAUACAUUUAAAAUCUGUCUUACGUCGUCUGCGCUUUCAUAGCAUCAAUUGUGAUUUGAUGCCAUGAAAAUUAGUGACGUUAUCCGAUCAAAAUGAACGUUACAAACGAUGUUGCAAUAGAAUUAUAGAUAUGAAACUUUGCAUUGUUCAAAAUAUUAGGAUGUUCUACCUCAGGAAUAGAUAAUCUUGGUUGUGUUUGCAAAACCUUUCGACAUUUUGGUUUCUCAAUGCUCUUCAACUUUGUACUUUAUUGGCCUUUUAACUUUUUUUAAUUCGAGUGUCACUGAUGAGUCUUUUGUAAACGACACGCGCGUCUGGUGUACAAAAAUAUAAGCCUGGUACCUUUGAUGAUUUUUUGUCUUAAAGGCAUUUGCAAUUGUUGUUUUUCUUAUCACACUAUUAUGGUGUUUUAAGCUUUUCAUACAAAUGUGUAGUCUAUUGUCUUGAUUUGAUUAUUUGUUGUUAUGCUUCUGUUAUUAAAAUUAUAUAACUAUAGGAACGAAGAACUACCGCUAGUGUAUUUGCUUACAAAAUAGAAAAAAUUACUUUAAUGAGUUACUACUUUAAACGAGGGAAGUUAUGAGUAACCCUUAUAGAGGAUAUAUACAUGAGGAAUUUCAUUCAAAUGUGGACAUUAACGUUGCAGUUAAUUAAAAUAGUUUGCCGAGUUUAAAACGUUAUUUUUUUCGUUUCUGUCUUGACCAUUCAUUAGUCUACAGUCAUACAGAUGCAUUUGAUAAGUAAGCAAAAUGUUGAGCAAUGUUUUUUUUUUGCUAUUCAUUUGAUUUUGUAAUUUUUAUAAGGUGUUAUAUUUCUUCCUCUUUUACUUAAUUGUUAUUGAUAGAAGUAUUAUUAUAUUAGUUCACACCAGUGCUUGUUCUCCUCAUUCGAAAAUGAAAUGAAGCUUCUCGAUUUUUCAUGACUACUUGUCUUAUUUUGUAGUCCUCAAAUAUGCUACACAGGAAUAAAACGUGCUUCAUCAAUAAGAAACGGUUUUGACUUUUCCACGUUUUUUCAGUUGUUUUAUUUCUCUCACACAUAAUAGGUCACAUGUUUACAAUUAUAAAAUGACAAAAGAUGUGUGUUUUUUUUUACAAAAAGAUCCAUUCAUAAUUCAGAAAGAAUCUUUUACAGUGCAAGAAGAGGGCAAUAGAAACAUUAACUACAAUUAUUAUGAUUCAAUACAUCGAUGUCAAAUUUGUCAUAUAUUUAUAUACAUUUUUAUUUUACUACUGUAUAUGUAAUUCGAUUCGGCGUAAAGCAAACACCAAUCAAUCAAUGUACAUGCAAUUCGUUUUCUUUCAAAACUUUAAUAAUUAAAUGACGUUUGAAAAAUGUACAGCAAAAUAAAUAUUCAAUUUUGUCGCCUUUUAAGCAUCUUUAUAGGUGAGGAUAUGCUUUAUGCUUCACUAAAAUUCAAGAACAAAUGUUAUAAGUGAAUUUGUUAUUAAUAUCAGCGGCCAGUGUCGAUUAAAUGGAAUAUUCAUGUAUGUUAAUCUGCAUAUUGUCUAUUUUUUAUUUUUAUAUGUUUAUUUUUCAUUUUUAUGUUUUUCCUAUUUAUUUGAAUUUCUCUGUUUUUGAUGACUUAGGUAAUAUAGUGUAGUAUAAAUGCUGUAAGCCAACUAUACUCAAAUUAUUUAUGUUAAUUCGUGACAUUUCCGUAGCUGUUAUUGUAAUAAGGAUUAUAUUUUUAGUAGUAGAGAAAUUAAUUAUUAUUAUAGAAAAGUCCCAAACUUUCAUUUUACAUGAGUGAUUAUUGUUUGCAUUACGCACCAUCAGCUCAAAAGGCUUUCUUAUAACAUGCUAUUCAUCUUGUAUCAACGGUUAAAAAUUGUAAAUGAUCUUAUGAUCUCUUCACGAAAUAUGUAUUAUAAUACCCUCUACGCAAUAUGUCUCACAAUAUGUCUUAUAAUACUUUCUACGUAAUAAGUCUUAGUAAUACCUUCAAAGAUGUCUAUGGAAAUAUACGAUGAAAAUAAAAAUAAUACCUAGUAAAUUUCGUUCAUCCGAAGCGCAUUCCUGGAUUACCCUACUUCAGGAACGCUAAAACCCAAACAGUUGAAAGCCAACGAUGUAUAAAUAUCCGAACACAUGAGGGCUGUUGUUCAAAUCAAUGACGAAUAAAAUGUCAUAGUACAAAUAAAGACAGAGGACAAUUUAAUUCAAAUGUGGACAUAAAAGUUAUCUUCAAAUUACACUCCAUGAAACAAAAAAAAGUGUUGAACUGUUUUUUGUAUCAUCAAACAUUCAUGAAAAGGAUAAUAAGAAUUUCCAAAAAUAUUGGAUAAAAAAUAGACCACACAAACCACCAAACUCAGAAAAUAUUGGAUAAAAAAUAGACCACACAAACCACCAAACUCCGAAAAAGAUAUAUAUAUAUAUAUAUAACAAGGAUAUACAGCAGAAACAACACAUAGAUAACCUGACUUAGCACAGACACAAAAUGUGGUGUGGUUAAAAAUGUAUUAUACAUCUUUUCGACUAUUGUACAACAAAUGGAUUUAGAAAUAUUGUUUUCAACAUACAAACAAUUAUUUUUCAACUCCUGGUAUCCCGCUUCUAUUUUGAACAUAGUCUAGAACAUGCAUGAAAUAGUUGCCACUGGACGUUAAACAGCCGACAAUCAACCUUUUUUUGAGCGAAGCAAACCAAUAUAUCAACAGUUAUGUUGACACGUCACAGUUCAUUUUGGGGUCCUUUUUGUGGUCCUCGGGUAAUCAGGUUAGAUUUCAUUAAAAUUCAAACACAAAGAUUGGGAAUUAGAAAAAAAUAACAAGAUUUAAGCUCAAUGAUGAAAUGGAGCAUAAAAGCAACAUUUACUUAAUGUUUAAUGUAUCACUGUAGCUUUUGGUUUUGUUAUGUGCUAUUUAUGGUCAUGUAGCCUUUGUUUCACUGACAAUUUUGAACAAUAAUGCUUUUUUACCCUACAGUUACCAUUAUAAUUUUCAUUUUUUUUUUUUUGCUUCUUUAUUUUCUUUAGCUUUCCAAUUUUUUUUUUUUUUUUUUUACAUUUACUUCAUUGCAUUUAAAAAACGUUUCUCCAUAGCUUUAACAAUUCAGAUUCUCUCAGACACACACAAGCCGCAGGGCCUUCUGCUUUUAUACAUUACAUGUGUAAAUAAGAUACUGAUUGAAAUAAAUUGUGUGAAAACCGUGUGCAAAAUUAUUGCAUUUAAGUAUAUAUACAUAUAUACAUGUAGCUAGGUGCUGAUGUUCAAUGCAAUAUGUGUAAAUCAAAAUGAAUGCUUCAUGUAAUUGCUGUCAUUGUUUAAAGAAAAUUGUCAAACGAUUGUUUGUCCUCUUCAUGAAUAUGAUCGUCUGCAUAUUGUAUUGUUUUGUGUUCUGUUUUACUUUAUAUUUUUAUUAUUUAUACUUUCAUUUUGUAUUUGAGUUCCUCCACUAAAACAAUGUAGAAAUGUGAUUAGUCGUCCUGAAAAAAUAUUUUAUUACUUGUAGUAGUAAACACUUCAACUGAUA
Long non-coding RNA from Mytilus californianus (California mussel), 5899 nucleotides. RefSeq lists it as uncharacterized. The record is from RefSeq and is a predicted model, not a curated record. The transcript has 4 exons. NCBI's taxonomy places the organism in Eukaryota, Metazoa, Mollusca, Bivalvia, Mytilida, Mytilidae.